UCUAAUACCGGAUAUGAGCCUGGGAGGCAUCUCCCGGGUUGUAAAGCUCCGGCGGUGAAGGAUGAGCCCGCGGCCUAUCAGCUUGUUGGUGAGGUAAUGGCUCACCAAGGCGACGACGGG
This 120-nucleotide ribosomal RNA is filed under the name Streptomyces lucensis. Its description in RNAcentral is "partial 16S rRNA". It matches the Rfam family "Bacterial small subunit ribosomal RNA", at positions 162 to 283 of the family's 1533-position model. Lineage: Bacteria; Bacillati; Actinomycetota; Actinomycetes; Kitasatosporales; Streptomycetaceae. The record is from RNAcentral.